GACCCGGCUGCGAGGACCCGGC
Molecule: microRNA, 22 nt
Filed under: Monodelphis domestica (gray short-tailed opossum)
Lineage: Eukaryota; Metazoa; Chordata; Mammalia; Didelphimorphia; Didelphidae
Description: mdo-miR-7356b-5p
Source: miRBase by way of RNAcentral